GAAGGAUCACAGACCUUCCAGCUAGCAGACAGCCGCGGCGCCGGGAAAGUAAGAUUUCUCAGCGUUCCUGACUCCUAGCUUUCCUGCUUGAUGUCAGAGAAGCUUGAUCUUGCGAGUGAUGGACACCUUCCCAGAGUAGUACUCUUUACAAUGGAAGACUGUUUCAAAGCCAAGUGUCAGCCUACAGUGUACUGAUUUAAAAGCAACUGAGGAAGUGGUUUAUAAGAAAAAUGAUGACAGUAUAUGGCCUUGGCACCAUCGGAAGGCAAUAAUACUUUUGGCUGGCCUCGAACUUAUGCUGCUAUUCCUGGAUUCAGCCUCCGAGGAUAGCCGAGCGCACCACGAUACCUGGGUUCUUAAAGAGUACAUUCUUUAAUGUAUACACAAAGCUUAAUAGCUGAACCAACAAACAUUUUCGUUUUUAAAAGUCUCUAGUCCUUUUAUUAAAACAUUGCCAAACAUGACCAACUCUUCUCUUGCAUCUAUACUAGUCAUUUCUGUACAGGGGCUUUCCAUUAUUCCUCACGCGGUUUUGAGCAUCACACAGAGAAAAGAAAGAUAUCAACAUGCACAUCCUGAUGAAGUUUCUGUACUGACUAAGCAGAACGGACACCAGUAUUGUAAUAGCAAAUAUGAAGACAGCUCUUCAGAGAAACUACAUUAUACCUAAAGAAUUAGACUUCUUGCCAAGCACAGCAGGUCUGCUACCUUCAGCUUCACGUUUAACGAUAAUGCAGCAGAAAAACUGAGAAAGGAAUUUAACUUCAGCAGUUGACCUACAAACGAAUUAAAUUGCCUUCCAACUGUAGAUUCAAGCAACAUUUUUAUAGGACUGUUCAUGAAAAACCAGGAAGAGUAAACUCACAGAAGCUAUCCUAUUUUUAAUUGUUUUAUCUUUAGAAAUUAUGGUCAGAAGGGAGUAACAGGCCUCUUCCUAACAACAGUAAAUUUACCUUGCUAGGCACAGGUGAAAAAGGAAAUCUUCCAUUGAAAAAAAUAGGGGGUCGGGGGUUUAGCUCAGUGGCGUAAGUGCCUUGGCCUGGCAAA
Molecule: long non-coding RNA, 1047 nt
Organism: Cavia porcellus (domestic guinea pig)
Lineage: Eukaryota; Metazoa; Chordata; Mammalia; Rodentia; Caviidae
Exons: 3
Source: RefSeq, a predicted model, not a curated record